AUACGAAGGGUGCAAGCGUUAAUCGGAAUUACUGGGCGUAAAGCGCGCGGAGGCGGUUUGUUAAGUCAGAUGUGAAAGCCCCAGGCUCAACCUGGGAACUGCAUUUGAAACUGGCAGGCUAGAGUGUGGUAGAGGGAAGUGGAAUUUCAGGUGUAGCGGUGAAAUGCGUAGAUAUCUGAAGGAACAUCAGUGGCGAAGGCGACUUCCUGGACCAACACUGACGCUGAGGUGCGAAAGCGUGGGUAGCAAACAGGAUUAGAUACCCCAGUAGUCC
RNAcentral lists this ribosomal RNA (274 nucleotides) under uncultured bacterium. RNAcentral's name for it is "partial 16S ribosomal RNA". It matches the Rfam family "Bacterial small subunit ribosomal RNA", at positions 523 to 796 of the family's 1533-position model. The record is from RNAcentral.